Molecule: non-coding RNA, 97 nt
Organism: Acanthosepion pharaonis
Lineage: Eukaryota; Metazoa; Mollusca; Cephalopoda; Sepiida; Sepiidae
Source: the annotation of a GenBank genome assembly
UUGAAACACCGAUUUCCCUCCGAUCAGCGAAGUUAAGCAACGUCGAGCCUGGCCAGUACCUAGACAGGUGACCACUUGGGAAAACCAGGUGCUGUAA